Molecule: long non-coding RNA, 294 nt
Organism: Armigeres subalbatus
Lineage: Eukaryota; Metazoa; Arthropoda; Insecta; Diptera; Culicidae
Exons: 2
Source: RefSeq, a predicted model, not a curated record
GUCAGAUUGAUAGCCAUUUUCAAAAUGAAAAAUCCGAGAAAAAAUCAUUUGUGAUUCGCUUGUGUGGAAAUGUGCGCGUUUUUAGUGACCGGAAUCUUGCAGGAACCUGAAGUGUGGCGACGAAACAGGUACAAGACGACUUCACUGCGCUGCGUCCGAUGCUGCUUUUUGUGCUGUAUAUGGCACUCAACGAGAAUGAAAAUCGUACACGUGUGACUCUUCCAAAAUUGGAUUUUGUUUUUUUGAUUGUUUCUAAAGUUGAAUUUAAAUAAAAUGCUUAAAUGAAAAUAAAAA